UACAUAGGGUGCAAGCGUUGUCCGGAAUUAUUGGGCGUAAAGAGCUCGUAGGUCGUUUGCCACGUCGAUUGUGAAAAUCUGAGGCUCAACCUCAGACCUGCAGUCGAUACGGGCAAACUAGAGUGUGGUAGGGGAGACUGGAAUUCCUGGUGUAGCGGUGGAAUGCGCAGAUAUCAGGAGGAACACCAAUGGCGAAGGCAGGUCUCUGGGCCAUAACUGACACUGAGGAGCGAAAGCGCGGGGAGCGAACAGGAUUAGAUACCCUGGUAGUCCGCGCCGUAAACGAUGGGCACUAGCUGUGAGAGCCUUCCACGGUUCUCGCGACGCAGCAAACGCAUUAAGUGCCCCGCCUGGGGAGUACGAUCGCAAGAUUAAAACUCAAAGGAAUUGACGGGGCCCCGCACAAGCAGCGGAGCAUGCGGCUUAAUUCGACGCAACGCGAAGAACCUUACCAAGGCUUGACAUAUAGCGAAAAGUGGCAGAGAUGUCAUGUCCGCAAGGGCGCUAUACAGGUGGUGCAUGGUUGUCGUCAGCUCGUGUCGUGAGAUGUUGGGUUAAGUCCCGCAACGAGCGCAACCCUCGUUCUGUGUUACCAGCAUUCAGUUGGGGACUCACAGGAGACUGCCGGGGUCAACUCGGAGGAAGGUGGGGAUGACGUCAAAUCAUCAUGCCCCUUAUGUCUUGGGCUGCACGCAUGCUACAAUGGCCGGUACAAAGUGCUGCGAAAUCGUAAGAUUUAGCGAAUCACAUAAAGCCGGUCUCAGUUCGGAUUGAGGUCUGCAACUCGACCUCAUGAAGUCGGAGUUGCUAGUAAUCGUAGAUCAGCAACGCUACGGUGAAUACGUUCCCGGGGCU
This 855-nucleotide ribosomal RNA is filed under the name uncultured bacterium. RNAcentral's name for it is "SSU rRNA". It matches the Rfam family "Bacterial small subunit ribosomal RNA", at positions 524 to 1381 of the family's 1533-position model. The record is from RNAcentral.